This 304-nucleotide ribosomal RNA is filed under the name uncultured bacterium. RNAcentral describes it as "partial 16S ribosomal RNA". It matches the Rfam family "Bacterial small subunit ribosomal RNA", at positions 509 to 807 of the family's 1533-position model. The record is from RNAcentral.
CAGCAGUCGCCGCGGUAAUACAGAGGGUGCGAGCGUUAAUCGGAUUUACUGGGCGUAAAGCGUGCGUAGGCGGCUAAUUGAGUCGGAUGUGAAAUCCCCGAGCUUAACUUGGGAAUUGCAUUUGAUACUGGUUAGCUAGAGUGUGGGAGAGGAUGGUAGAAUUCCAGGUGUAGCGGUGAAAUGCGUAGAGAUCUGGAGGAAUACCGAUGGCGAAGGCAGCCAUCUGGCCUAACACUGACGCUGAGGUACGAAAGCAUGGGGAGCAAACAGGAUUAGAUACCCCAGUAGUCCCUGUCUCUUAUAC